GACGAACGCUGGCGGCGUGCUUAACACAUGCAAGUCGAGCGGUAAGGCCCUUUCGGGGUACACGAGCGGCGAACGGGUAGAGUAACACGUGGGUGACCUGCCCUCAGCUCUGGGAUAAGCCUGGGAAACUGGGUCUAAUACUGGAUAUGACUCCACGGUGCAUGUCGUGGGGUGGAAAGCCUUGUGCGGCUGAGGAUGGGCCCGCGGCCUAUCAGCUUGUUGGUGGGGUGAUGGCCUACCAAGGCGACGACGGGUAGCCGGCCUGAGAGGGCGACCGGCCACACUGGGACUGAGACACGGCCCAGACUCCUACGGGAGGCAGCAGUGGGGAAUCUUGCGCAAUGGGCGAAAGUCUGAC
This 358-nucleotide ribosomal RNA is filed under the name uncultured bacterium. Its description in RNAcentral is "bacterial SSU rRNA". It matches the Rfam family "Bacterial small subunit ribosomal RNA", at positions 28 to 387 of the family's 1533-position model. The record is from RNAcentral.